This is a non-coding RNA of Candidatus Gottesmanbacteria bacterium RBG_16_52_11, 4824 nucleotides long. The record is from Rfam. NCBI's taxonomy places the organism in Bacteria, Candidatus Gottesmaniibacteriota.
CUCCGUAACGCAUAAAGCUGACAACGGAUGCCUAGGGUGUUUACGCCGAGGAAGGACGUAUAUGGCGACGAUACGCGCCGGGAAGGAGCCAUAAUCCUGCGAUCCGGCGGUUUCCGAAUGGGGAAACCCGGCCGACGUAAGUCGGUCAAUCCGCCGUAAAGACGGCCCGCAAGGGCCGGGAUAGCGACGGGUAGGAUACCAUCUGAACUGAAACAUCUAAGUAAGAUGAGGAAAAUAAAUCAAGUACGAGAUUCCGUCAGUAGCGGCGAGCGAAAGCGGAACAGCCUAAACCCUGCGCAAGCGGGGGGUUGCAGGGCUCCCGAUAUGGGAUGAGAUUGAGGUAGCAGAACUGUCUGGAAUGGCAGACCAGAGGACGUGAAAGUCGUGUAUGCGAAACCGAAAUCUCCCCUAGGGAGUUCCUAAGUACCAUGGGCCACGAAGGGCCUGUGGGAAUCUGGGUCAACCACGAUCCAAGGCUAAAUACGUAAACACACCGAUAGUGAACUAGUACCGUGAGGGAAAGGUGAAAAGCACCCCGAAAGGGGAAUGAAAUAGUACCUGAAAUUGUCAGCUAACAAACAGUCAGAGCUUGUGCAUGGCACCAGGAAAUCCGAAGCACGAAAUACGAAAUCCGAAACAAAUCCAAAACGUUUCGAAUUUCGAAGUUCGAAUUUCGGUUUUCUCGUGCUGUGCACGAGUAAUGGCGUGCCUAUUGAAGAAUGAACCGGUGAGUUGCCGAUUGUCUGCGAGUUUAAUCCCGAUUAAAUCGGGAGGAGGCGCAGCGAAAGCGAGUCUGAAUAGGGCGACAAUAAGCAGAUAUCGGCAGACCCGAAACCGUGUGAGCUAACCAUGAGCAGGGUGAGUCCCGACGAAAGUCGGGAGGAGGCCCGAACCCGUCAGAGUUGCAAAUCUGUGGGACGACUUGUGGUUAGGGGUAAUAUGCCAAUCGAACACGGAGAUAGCUGGUUCUCCCCGAAAUAUAUUUAGGUAUAGCGGUCAAUCAAACCUUCGGAGGGGUAGAGCACUGAAUGAUGCAUGUGGAGCAAUCCAUAUGUUUCAAUCAAACUCCGAAUACUUCUGAAGGCUACUUGGCCAGUCAGACAUGCGGGGCUAAGCUCGUGUGUCUAAAGGGAAACAGCCCAGACUCUCGUCUAAGGUCUCUAAUCCAUAGUAAGUGGUUAAGGAGGUCGCGGUUUAAAGACACCCAGGAAGUUGGCUUAGAAGCAGCCAUCUUUUAAAGAACGCGUAACAGCGCGCUGGAUGAAAACUGCGGCGCCGAAAAUGAUCGAGGCUCAACUAUGGUACCGACGACAGAGAUCUUGUCCGUGGGACAAGAAAAUUCGAAGCACGAAGCACGAAAAUCGAAACAAUUUCAAAACGUUUCGAAUUUCAAAAUUUCGGAUUUCGGAUUUCCUUGCCCUGCGGGCAAGGUGGUAGGGGAGCGUUCUUGUUGCAGUGAAGGCCAGCCUGUAAGGGCGACUGGAGCGGCAAGAAGUGAGAAUGCCGGUAUGAGUAGCGUUUGAGGGUGAGAAUCCUUCAUGCCGAAUGCGCAAGGUUUCCGAAGCAACGUUCGUCGACUUCGGGUAAGUCGGAUCUAAGGCGAGGUCAUCGUAAUGGUGGCGUAGCUCGAUGUAUAAACGGUUGAUAUUCCGUUACAGUGAAGUGUCGUCUAAGACCUAAAGGGAUGACAGGAUGGGAUGUGUCUGUGGGUUGAAUACUCGGCCCCUAAGCUCUGAGGUAGUGAUGAUCGGUAAAUCCGUUGUCAUGUUUAAUUCAAGGAGCGGGGAAGCCCAAGCCGCAAGGUGCGGGCAAUACAGAUAGUUUCGUACUCCGGAAAAAUCUCGUUAGGGAGCACUUUAUUUCCGUACCGCAAACCGACACAGGUGCGCUGGUAGAGUAUACCAAGGCAAGCGGGCGACAGUGGUUCAAGGAACUCGGCAACANNNNNNNNNNNNNNNNNNNNNNNNAUGCCUUCCCCGACGUAAGUCGGGGCGCAGUUAACGACGCUAAGCGACUGUUUAACUAAAACACAGGUCUCUGCGAAGCCGUAAGGCAACGUAUAGGGGCUGACACCUGCCCAGUGCCGGUAAGUUAAGUGUUGUAGGUGACCUAUUCGCAAGAUUAGGAAGCUUGUGACGCAAGCUCCGGUGAACGGCAGCAGUAACUAUAACUGUUCUAUGGUAGAAUUUUUCGCUGCCAUAGUGAGGUAGUCAAACCUCUCAUUCCGUCCCCGUGUAAUAAAGGAAAGGAUGGUAUGAAAAAUUGCACUAUAUGCUGGAAAACCUGAGAAUCCUUUGCUACUAUGGUUAAUAUGUACCAUAGUGAAAAUGCAGAAGGUGCAGGCAAUCAGCAGGAAAGACUAACCCUUGGUGGAUUGUUGGUUUUGUCGACGGCGAAGGAUGUUUUUCCGUCAGUAGAUUCAAAAACUCAACCUGUAAAAGCGGUUAUCAGACUCUAUUUGAGUUUGUAGUCACUCAGGGGGAGAAAAGCAAACUGACGUUGGAGGCAAUCAAAAAAUAUUUUGAUUGCGGAAAUAUUUACAUCAAUCGCCGGUAUGACAAUCAUCAUUACAAUUUAUUCAGGUACUGUGUACGAAAACAGGAAGAUCUCAAAAAUAAGAUUGUUCCAUUUUUCAGAAAGUACCGUUUACAAUCGGCCAAACGAAUACAGUUCGAAGAGUUCUGUAAGCGGCUGCAGGUUUAGAAUCCUCAACGACUAUACGUGCAACCCGCCCAGGGCGGGAAGAUAUAGUCUGAUCUCCGAUGCGAGUCGGAGUUAACAUCAAACUGAGCGAAAUUCCUUGUCGGGCAAGUUCCGACCCGCACGAAAGGUAGAACGACUUAGCGACUGUCUUGAACCAUUACCCGGCGAAAUUGAAAUGGCUGUGAAGAUGCGGCCUACUCACGCAUGGACAAAAAGACCCCGUGGAGCUUUACUGCAACUUGGCACUGAGGACUCUAUUUUGACUGUCGAGCAUAGGUGGGAGACUUCGGUCGUAAUAUGGAAUACCACUCUUCGAAAUGGGGAAAUCUGACUUAUCCCGACGUAAAAAUCUCGGGAGAGGACACUGUCUGGUGGGCAGUUUAACUGGGGAGGUUGCCUCCAAAAUCGUAACGGAGGCGUACAAAGGUUGGCUAAUCCCGAAUGGAAACCGGGACCCGUCGUGCAAACGCAUAAGCCAGCUUGACUGCGAGACGUACAGGUCGAGCAGAGACGAAAGUCGGUGUUAGUGAUCCUCGGAUCCCUCGUGGGAGGGACCGGGCUUAACGGAUAAAAGCUACCCCGGGGAUAACAGGCUGAUCGCUUCCGAGAGUCCAUAUCGACGAGGCGGUUUGGCACCUUAACGAACACAUCGGGGUGCUUCCGCAGUAAUGCGGGACCAAAUAAAUCUGGCUAAUAUCGGUGAAGUCCUGAGUUGAUCGUGGAGAUCAUUAGACUGAUAAUAAUAUUGAUGAUCGGAUCAACGGAUAAUACCGAGGGAAGCUUGACAGAAGAACAAAAAGAAAUUCUUGAAAUAAAUUUCUGUCAUAGCCCCGUAUCGACUGAAUCCCGACUCUGUCGGGAUGAGAUAGUUCUUUGUAUCGCGAACUAUCAUACGCCAGCUCCCGAUAAAAUCGGGAUGAAGAUAUAGUCAAAUCUCAUGGGAAACCGUGAGGGCAAAUCCGGAAACGGAAUUGCGAUGUCGGCUCAUCCUAUCCUGGGGCUGGAGAAGGUCCCAAGGGUCCGGCUGUUCGCCGGUUAAAAGGGUACGCGAGCUGGGUUCAGAACGUCGUAGACUUAAAGUUUUGCGACCGUCGGUGGUAACAUCGAUGUAAAAUCUGGCUAAUAACGGUGAAGCCCUCCUUUCUUUUCCGAACGGAGAGAGGGUAAUACCGUGGGAAGACGAGGUUUUGUGGUUGAAAAGACGAAAGCGUAUAUUGCAGGAUUUCUUGAUGGAGAUGGUUCAAUAUUCCUACAGUUGGUUUACCGGAAAGAUUACAUCCUCGGAUAUCAGGUACGCGCAAGUAUUGUGUUUUAUCAGAAGCAGGAUCAGAGAAAGAUCCUGCGUUGGCUGAUUCAUAAGCUACGCGUAGGGUAUCUGAGAGACAGAAAUGACGGUAUUGCUGAAUACACAAUUGUCGGACUGAGAGAAGUAGGAAUAAUUCUCAGUCAACUGGAACCUUAUCUAUUAUUGAAAAGGAAGCAGGCGCAGUUGGCAUUACGGAUAAUUUCCCGUUUUGGGCAAGUGUCCCGAAUUACUCCGGGUAUUCUACUUCGGAUAGCAAAAGAGGUAGAUAAAUUCGGAAAGCUGAACUAUUCCAAGAAACGCCUGAAUACUGCUGACACAGUACGUAAAUACUUUUCCACACACAAAAUCCGUCCCCGUAUCGACUGAAUCCCGACUCUGUCGGGAUGAGAUGGCCUAGAGAAAUACUCCGCCAUCAUACGCCAGCUCCCGAUAAAAUCGGGAUGAAGAUAUAGUCAGUACCACUAGAAAUAGUGGAGCGCAAAGAAUAAAAACUUUGCUAGGAUUUUGUCCUAUAAUACGGAGACAGUUCGGUCUCUAUCCUGCGUGAGCGUUCGAUUGUUGAGGGGAGCUUUCGAUAGUACGAGAGGACCUCGAAGGACCGAUCCCUGGUGUGCCAGUUGUCUCCCUGAGAGGAGGCACCGCUGGGUAGCUAGAUCGGGACGGGAUAAGUGCUGAAAGCAUCUCAAGCACCAAGCCCACCCCAAGAUGAACAAUCGUUAUCAGACCCGUUGCAGAUUACAACGUAUAUAGGCGGGGAGUGUAAGAACCGUGAGGUUUUCAGCUUACCCGUACUAAUCGGUCGAAGUUAUGGAGUA